CCUUGUACACACCGCCCGUCACACCAUGGGAGUUGGUUUUACCCGAAGGCGAUGCGCUAACCGCAAGGAGGCAGUCGACCACGGUAGGGUCAGCGACUGGGGUGAAGUCGUAACAAGGUACCC
This 123-nucleotide ribosomal RNA is filed under the name uncultured bacterium. Its description in RNAcentral is "partial 16S ribosomal RNA". It matches the Rfam family "Bacterial small subunit ribosomal RNA", at positions 1379 to 1501 of the family's 1533-position model. The record is from RNAcentral.